CAAUAAUAUUCCUGCUCGGUUUGAGGGGAAUUACAGGUUCAGAUAUUUGGUAUCUCUGCCUGGCUGAGGAGUGCGAAGCUGCCAUCUGAUGGAAUAUGAUUGAAUGGUUUUAAGUCCGAAUCCCUCCUAAAAGG
RNAcentral lists this non-coding RNA (134 nucleotides) under Lepisosteus oculatus (spotted gar). The record is from Rfam by way of RNAcentral. Lineage: Eukaryota; Metazoa; Chordata; Actinopteri; Semionotiformes; Lepisosteidae.